GUGGAUGACGGUACCAGCAUAAGAAGCACCGGCUAACUACGUGCCAGCAGCCGCGGUAAUACGUAGGGUGCGAGCGUUAAUCGGAAUUACUGGGCGUAAAGCGUGCGCAGGCGGUUUCGUAAGACAGAGGUGAAAUCCCCGGGCUCAAACCUGGGAACUGCCUUUGUGACUGCGAGGCUAGAGUAUGGCAGAGGGGGUGGAAUUCCACGUGUAGCAGUGAAAUGCGUAGAGAUGUGGAGGAACACCGAUGGCGAAGGCAGCCCCCUGGGCCAAUACUGACGCUCAUGCACGAAAGCGUGGGGAGCAAACAGGAUUAGAUACCCUGGUAGUCCACGCCCUAAACGAUGUCAACUAGGUGUUGGGAGGGUUAAACCUUUUAGUACCGUAGCUAACGCGUGAAGUUGACCGCCUGGGGAGUACGGCCGCAAGGUUAAAAACUCAAAAGGAAUUGACGGGGAC
RNAcentral lists this ribosomal RNA (459 nucleotides) under uncultured bacterium. RNAcentral's name for it is "bacterial SSU rRNA". It matches the Rfam family "Bacterial small subunit ribosomal RNA", at positions 465 to 920 of the family's 1533-position model. The record is from RNAcentral.